AACGAACGCUGGCGGCAGGCUUAACACAUGCAAGUCGAGCGAGACCUUCGGGUCUAGCGGCGGACGGGUGAGUAACGCGUGGGAACGUGCCCUUCUCUACGGAAUAGCCCCGGGAAACUGGGAGUAAUACCGUAUACGCCCUUUGGGGGAAAGAUUUAUCGGAGAAGGAUCGGCCCGCGUUGGAUUAGGUAGUUGGUGGGGUAAUGGCCCACCAAGCCGACGAUCCAUAGCUGGUUUGAGAGGAUGAUCAGCCACACUGGGACUGAGACACGGCCCAGACUCCUACGGGAGGCAGCAGUGGGGAAUCUUAGACAAUGGGGGCAACCCUGAUCUAGCCAUGCCGCGUGAGUGAUGAAGGCCUUAGGGUUGUAAAGCUCUUCAGCUGGGAAGAUAAUGACG
RNAcentral lists this ribosomal RNA (399 nucleotides) under Paracoccus marcusii. RNAcentral's name for it is "bacterial SSU rRNA". It matches the Rfam family "Bacterial small subunit ribosomal RNA", at positions 29 to 456 of the family's 1533-position model. The record is from RNAcentral. Lineage: Bacteria; Pseudomonadati; Pseudomonadota; Alphaproteobacteria; Rhodobacterales; Paracoccaceae.